Molecule: ribosomal RNA, 469 nt
Filed under: uncultured bacterium
Lineage: Bacteria
Description: bacterial SSU rRNA
Rfam family: Bacterial small subunit ribosomal RNA
Source: RNAcentral
CCAGACUCCUACGGGAGGCAGCAGUGGGGAAUAUUGCGCAAUGGACGAAAGUCUGACGCAGCGACGCCGCGUGAGGGAUGAAGGUUUUCGGAUCGUAAACCUCUGUCAGGAGGGAAGAAAGCGCAUGGCGCCAAUCAGCCAUGCGUUGACGGUACCUCCAAAGGAAGCGCCGGCUAACUCCGUGCCAGCAGCCGCGGUAAUACGGGGGGUGCAAGCGUUGUCCGGAAUCAUUGGGCGUAAAGCGUUCGUAGGCGGUAAAGUAAGUCAGAUGUUAAAGCCCGGGGCUCAACUCCGGUUCGGCAUUUGAUACUACUUGACUAGAAUGCGGUAGAGGUAAAGGGAAUUCCUGGUGUAGCGGUGAAAUGCGUAGAUAUCAGGAAGAACAUCGGUGGCGAAAGCGCUUUACUGGGCCGUUAUUGACGCUGAGGAACGAAAGCCAGGGUAGCAAACGGGAUUAGAUACCCCGGUA